Molecule: non-coding RNA, 219 nt
Organism: Pelobates cultripes (western spadefoot toad)
Lineage: Eukaryota; Metazoa; Chordata; Amphibia; Anura; Pelobatidae
Source: the annotation of a GenBank genome assembly
GUUUGGGCAGCAUGAGCAUUACAUAGGUCUCGAUAGUUCAAGGUAUUGGUUUGUUCAGCACGUCUGUCAACAGAGUGGCCACCAUGUCCCAGUAGGGUUGAAGGGCAGGGCAUUUCCACCAGAUGUGUGUCAUGUUGCCCCCUUCCUCCCCACAUCUCCAGCAUGUGUCUUUUAUGUUUUGGUAUAUUUUGGCUAGCUUCGAAGGAACCAGGUACCACC